UACGAAGGGGGCUAGCGUUGUUCGGAAUUACUGGGCGUAAAGGGCGCGUAGGCGGUGCCUCAAGUCAGGCGUGAAAGCCCCGGGCUCAACCUGGGAACUGCGUCUGAUACUGGAUGGCUUGAGGUUGGGAGAGGGAUGCGGAAUUCCAGGUGUAGCGGUGAAAUGCGUAGAUAUCUGGAGGAACACCGGUGGCGAAGGCGGCAUCCUGGACCAAUUCUGACACUGAGGAGCGAAAGCCAGGGGAGCAAACGGG
RNAcentral lists this ribosomal RNA (253 nucleotides) under uncultured bacterium. Its description in RNAcentral is "partial 16S ribosomal RNA". It matches the Rfam family "Bacterial small subunit ribosomal RNA", at positions 524 to 776 of the family's 1533-position model. The record is from RNAcentral.